Triticum aestivum (bread wheat) is the source of this 1576-nucleotide long non-coding RNA. RefSeq lists it as uncharacterized. Lineage: Eukaryota; Viridiplantae; Streptophyta; Magnoliopsida; Poales; Poaceae. The record is from RefSeq and is a predicted model, not a curated record. The transcript is spliced from 2 exons.
CUGUGGUCACGCUUAAGAUAAGGUGUGGGACUUUCUGAUGUGUGGAUGUGAUAACACUGUAAACGUGCUCUUAAACCGACGGGACCUCAGCCAGCUGAGCAUCCAACAUUCCAACUCACACUUCUUGGAAGAAAGGCUGCUGUGAUGUUUCGGGCGAUCUGGCUGAGAAGAGGUGUCCUACUAUGUCCUCCUGAUCGGUAACGAGGGCCACCUUAUGUCUGCCGAUCAAACGGUGAAAAUGUCCAUGCUUCUACUAUUGUCCUUGCUGCUCAUUUCUUAUGGAAUUGGCAACACCCGAUGCUCGACAGUCCCUGGUAACAGUGAGGACAUGCUCUCGUUGCUAGAUUUCAAGCGAGCCAUCACCAGUGAUCCAAGGCAAGCCUUGAGCUCAUGGAACACUAGCAUCCACCAUUGCCAGUGGGAGGGUGUCAACUGCAGCUUGAAGCACGCAGGCGUGUCACCGCGCUCAACCUCACAGACCAAAGUUUGCAAGGUCAAAUUGCUCCCUCUCUUGGAAAUCUAACCUUCCUUAGGAAACUCGUCCUCUCCUCAAACGGCUUCUCUGGCCAGUUGCCCAUUCUUAACCGCCUCCGUAAGCUCCAGUCCCUUGAUCUGGGCGAUAACAGGUUGCAGGGGUUCAAUCCUGAUGCACUUACAAAUUGCUCUAACUUAGAGUACCUAGACCUUUCUUUCAACUCGAUCACGGGUUCACUUCCCCCAAAUAUUGGUUCCCUGAAUAGCCUUGUGUCUUUGAUCCUUCACAGUAAUAAUUACACCGGCACCAUCCCAUCAAAUAUUAAGAACAACACCCAGCUACAGUUAAUCUCUCUAUCAGAAAAUCAGAUCCAAGGGAACAUUCCCGUUGAGCUUGGGCAGUUGCCAAAUAUGAUCUCGUUGUUUCUAAGGGGGAAUAGGUUAUCAGGUAGAAUCCCAACGACACUUAUAAACAAUUCUGCCCUUGCAAUUAUGGACUUGAAUUCGAAUUUUCUACAAAUGGAAUUGCCAUCUAACAUUGGCGAUACUCUUCCUAAUCUCUGGGCACUUAGCUUGAGCGACAACAUGUUCGAAGGUCAAUUUCCAGCCUCCCUAGGCAACGCUUCUUUCCUGUCUAUAAUAUAUUUAGCAUCAAACAAUUUUACCGGCCAACUUCCGAGUUCUUUAGGAAACCUUCUACACCUAACUGACCUGAAACUCGAUGAAAACAAUUUUGAAGCAAAGGACGAUCAAGGCUGGAAGUUUUUAGAUGCAUUGAGUAAUUGUGGUUCUCUGCAAGUGCUCUCUUUAAAUGACAAUCAGCUCUAUGGACCCAUACCUCAUUCAGUUGGAAAUUUAUCAGCAAGUAUUCAAAGACUUGAAUUCGGUAACAACUACUUGUCAGGGACGGUUCCAUAGGGCAUAGGGAACGUUCGUGGCUUAACUGUGUUGUUGCAUGAUCGUAAUAGCCUAACCGGUCUGUUACAAUGUGUAGCUCUUAUUUCAUCAUUUGGAAGCCAGUUUGGCCAUUCUAACAUGCAAAACAAUAUAUAGGCAUGUACUAGACUGGAAUAGGGCUUGUUUGACAUAGUUACCAAGCUGA